Triticum aestivum (bread wheat) is the source of this 1164-nucleotide long non-coding RNA. RefSeq lists it as uncharacterized. NCBI's taxonomy places the organism in Eukaryota, Viridiplantae, Streptophyta, Magnoliopsida, Poales, Poaceae. The record is from RefSeq and is a predicted model, not a curated record. The transcript is spliced from 10 exons.
CGCCUCUCCCUUCCCCAUUUCAUUUGGGCGGCACUGUUCUAACCAGUAGAGAGACAGAGAGCGAGCGAGAGGGAGAGCGACGGAGAAGAGGAGGCGGUUCCGCCGUGUUCAUGUCGUUCCGGAGACCCCCCUCUGCUGGAGCUUGACUUCUUUUUGAUUCACGGUUGCCCGGUUGGUUACUGGUGCUGUUGUGGAUUUUGUUAGCUCUUGUAGAUGCAAUUGUUGGUUCUGCUGCGGGAAGGUGAAAUCAUUGAAUAGGAAAUUAUCAUGUGUUGGAAGAAGGAAUGUGUUGCUCCUUGUUAUAUAAGACCAUAAACUAUUCUGGCAGCCUAUAUAUUGUUUUAUAGUUCUGAACUACUAAGAGAAUCUCACACAUAAUACAAUUUUUUACUGUCUACUAAAGACAAGUUCAUGUAAAAGGUGUCUGUACAUCAGAAGGGUGAGCAAAAGGAGUAGGAGAGUUUCUGACAUGUGGAUCAUAUCUUGGAUGAUCUUCCUCUGUCCUCCCCCAAAUAUUGGCAGCUGCUCUUCCCUUUUGAUUCUCUCCAGGAACGCAACCGACCGGUUCAAGUGGAAUGGAACAUCUUUUCAACAACAUUGGCCUGCUUAAUCUUUACGGGCACCGUAGUAGAUUAUAAUUGUAUCUAUUCCCCCCUCUCUAUAUACUCCCAAGGAUUCUUGACGAUGUGCGGUAAGACGUCUGCUAUCAAUCAAAUUUGGAAUUCUUGAGAAGGAACCCCUCCCACUGGAGUUGUGGCAUCCACGCACAUGAGGUGCAACUGUGCCAUGGUGGCAUGGCUUUGGAGCAGGAGCUAUGCUUGCUGCCACCGCGAGAUAUUCACGCACAUCCACAUAUGCGCCAUCCAUACACAUGAGGUGCAUCUGUCCCAUGGUGUCCUCGCUUUAGAGCUGGAGUUGUGCUUGCUACUUCCGCGAGAUAUUCAUGCACAUCCACAUAUGUGCCUGACCUUGCCGCCUCUACCUGAUGUGAUGCGAUUUUGGCACAUGCAAUGCUGAAGAGGCACGUGACAAUUUCCAUUUGCCUAUGCUUUCUUUUACUAUUCUUUUCUUUUCAUACAUGUUCAUUACGCUUGGUUACGGCAACGAGAUAUCAUCUAAGGAAUGAUUAAUCAUCAAGAGGUGUACAAGGUAAAGCAAGGAAUA